UUUUCAGUAUAACUAUGUCCCAUGCAAUAUUUGGGACAUAUUUAUACUAAAA
Pan troglodytes (chimpanzee) is the source of this 52-nucleotide microRNA precursor. It matches the Rfam family "mir-1302 microRNA precursor family". The record is from Rfam. Lineage: Eukaryota; Metazoa; Chordata; Mammalia; Primates; Hominidae.